RNAcentral lists this ribosomal RNA (510 nucleotides) under uncultured bacterium. RNAcentral's name for it is "partial 16S ribosomal RNA". It matches the Rfam family "Bacterial small subunit ribosomal RNA", at positions 28 to 507 of the family's 1533-position model. The record is from RNAcentral.
GACGAACGCUGGCGGCGUGCUUAACACAUGCAAGUCGAACGAAAAGCGAUGGCAGCUUGCUUCUGUCCAUCUUAGUGGCGGACGGGUGAGUCACGCGUAAUCAACCUGCCCUUCAGGGGGGGACAACGGUAGGAAACGACUGCUCAUACCGCAUACGAUCCAAUCUCGGCGUCGGGACGGGAUGAACGGUGGCCUCUAUUUAUAAGCUAUCACUGAAGGAUGGGGUUGCGUCUGAUUAGCUAGAUGGAGGGGUAACGGAGCAGCUAGGAGAGGAUCAGUGGCAGGUCUGAGAGGACGGACGGCCAGACUGGGAGGGAGACCCGGCACAGACGCCUACAGGAGGCAGCAGGGCGGCAUCUUCCGCCAUGGAUGAAAGUCUGACCGCGAAACGCCGCGGGAGUGAUGACGGCCGUCGGGUUGGAAAGCUCUGUUAAUCGGGAGGAAUGGUUCUUGUGCGAAUAGGGCGAGGAUUUGACGGUACCGGAAUAGAAAGCCACGGCUAACUACGUG